UAUUCUUGUGUUCAUCCUGACAUACCAAAUGGUGGCCCAUUCUUCAUACUAUUGCAUUUCAUGGCCUUUUGAACCAUAUAUGCCCCAACUGAAAGGCCAGCUUUGAAUGGUAGUUUGAUAAGCAUUACCAUGAUAAUGAAUAAGGAGUACAAUCUCACUUCGGGAGAAAAAACUUGUCAAAAAAUGCAACAUUUACACCACACUAUAGGUGCCAUUUUCUUCAUUACUGUUUUCUUAAAGAUGACUCGCAAUAAAUUAAAUACUAAGAUUUUAGUAAACUUAUAUAUCACCAGCACAACUUCAGAUAUGACAAAUUUAAUUUAUGUGAAGUUUAUAUAACUUCAAGUCUUCAACUAAACCUCAACUAGUUUAGAAUUCAGAACUAAGGCUUAGUCGAGUGGUCUGCAAAAUCUAAAUGGUUAACUGCAUAAGAUGCUGACAAAAACACAAAAAUUAUUAAAAAUUAUGGCAAUAAAAUGAAUCAAAUUAUUGAUA
Molecule: unclassified non-coding RNA, 495 nt
Filed under: Hevea brasiliensis (rubber tree)
Lineage: Eukaryota; Viridiplantae; Streptophyta; Magnoliopsida; Malpighiales; Euphorbiaceae
Source: RNAcentral